GCUCUAUUCCAGAAGCAGUCUGGAGCACAAAGAAUCCCUAAUCACUGACAUUAAGAAAGAAGAAAAAUAUUCCUAGGACGAUCCUGGAGAGCAAAGGUCAUCAGCAGUCACUUGACUUUCCUUGGAUUUCUCAACUGCAGUAGUCACAUGGUCUGCUGAAAAUGAAUUCUCUUUAUUUUCAUCUGAUUUCAAGGAAUUAUGGUUUUCAGUGAUUUCUUCAUUUGGAUCUAUUUUGAGACAGAGUAAUAGCAUUAAAACCCCCUUCUGAAUUAAUAAGGCAUUUGUUGCUGAAACGCAAAGUGUGACAAGCCAAUGGAGGCCAAGAUUUGAUUUUGAUAGCUCUUCCUACAAUUAUCCUUUGAAGGAAAGCAUAAAGAAGACAGAGAAAGAAGAGACACAGACAUGCAGAGAAAACACAGGGAAGAAGGCCACAUGGGAUGAAGGCAGAGAAGGGAAUGAUGCAGCUACAAGCCAGCUACAAGCCAAGGAAUGCCAUGGACUGCUGGCAACCACUAGAAAGAAGC
This 524-nucleotide long non-coding RNA is filed under the name Homo sapiens (human). RNAcentral's name for it is "HSALNT0079722". Lineage: Eukaryota; Metazoa; Chordata; Mammalia; Primates; Hominidae. The record is from RNAcentral.